UGGACACCAGCCCAUCUGGGGUCUAUGAGCACAAUGAUUAUUACUUUUCUCGAGCAGAGCUUAAAGUUCCUGAAGAACAUUUCAGUUAAAGUUUAGCAUCAGGAUGUUAGCUAUAGGGGAGAUAAAUGAAUUCAAAGGGCUUCAAUCUGAAGUCCCACAGGACCAACACAACCUAUGCACCAAUCUGCUAAUUUGGUGGUGUCACAUGGAAAGCCAUUAUUAAUGGAAAGACAUUGACUUGCAACCAGAUGACAUCUGUGUAUCCAAUUCUGUUACAUGCUAUGCAAUCUUCUAUAAGGAGGAUGAUACCACUACUCGGGCUGUGUGAACGUGUAGUGCUUGGCAUAGGAAAGACUUGCUAUAGCCUCAUGUUUUUUUUUUUUUUUUUUUUUUUUUUUCUGGAAACAACUCCUUCAACCUCAAGGAUUUUAUUGGAAACUUUGAAGUAAUGACAUGGCACACUGGAGUGUCCUGUGAGUCCACUCUGCAAUUGAACCACUAGUAGAUUAAGCUGAACUUGCGUAGGAAAGCCUUCUAGCAAUUAACCUGGGGUUGGGUGACUUUAAGCAUUUUCAUUCUGCUACAGAAACAAAAAAAGAUGUGACUGGAGAAAUGCUAUUCCUUUAAUUGAAGGAACACUUUUAUGUUCUCAGGUCUAUUUUAAUCUUAAGUGCUGAUUAUGCAUCAUUCUCCCCUGUUAACAGACACUUCUGUAAGUGAUCUGCACAGAGAAAUAUGAUUCUUACAUAAAUACUGUACCACGAGAAAUUAUCUCAUUAUCUAAUACGCCAAAAAUCUAAUAAGAUAAAGGAACGGUAUGAGUCAUUUUUGGACAAUAUUAAAACUUGCUUUUAGCUCAUGGAAAUAAAAUAUAAUUUCCUUUUAUUAUUCUCUUCACGAAGAACAAAGAAAUGUAGGAUGUAAGGGUAUUAUACACCUGUGUUCUAUGAACUCUCAUGAAGGCUGAUGAAGGGAUCGGGCAGGAUAGUCUCAAAUUAAGAUUUUAAUUAUUCUUCUAUUGAGAAAACAUACUCUUGCUGCUCAUGCUGUUUCAUCAGGUAUG
Non-coding RNA from Oryctolagus cuniculus (rabbit), 1063 nucleotides. The record is from RefSeq and is a predicted model, not a curated record. NCBI's taxonomy places the organism in Eukaryota, Metazoa, Chordata, Mammalia, Lagomorpha, Leporidae.